This 3024-nucleotide ribosomal RNA is filed under the name bovine gut metagenome. RNAcentral describes it as "Bacterial large subunit ribosomal RNA". It matches the Rfam family "Bacterial large subunit ribosomal RNA". The record is from RNAcentral.
AAAUUGUAAAGAGCGCAGGGUGGAUGCCUAGGUGCCAGAGACUGAAGAAAGACGUGGCCAGCUGCGAUAAGCUUCGGGGAGCUGCAAGCAAGCUUAGAUCCGGAGAUUUCUGAAUGGGAGAACCUGAUAUCCGUCGAGGAUAUCGUCCUAACGGUGAAUUCAUAGCCGUAAGGAAUGGAACUCAGGGAAUUGAACCAUCUCAGUACCUGAAGGAAAAGAAAGUAAAAACGAUUCCCAUAGUAGCGGCGAGCGAAUUGGGAAGAGCCUAAACCAGGCCAGGUGUUAAAGCCCGGCGGCGUUGCCGGUCUGGUGUCGAGGGAUUGCACGUGGAAGCAUGCCGGUGCUUCUGAGGACGAUUCGGGCUGUUCUAAUCGAAGUCGGCUGGAAAGCCGCACUGAAGAAUGUGAAAGUCAUGUAGGUGAAAGAGCAGAGACGUCCUUGUGUGACACCCGAGUACUACGGAAUCUGAGGGAGUCCGUGGGAAUCCGCGAGAACCUUCUCGCAAGGCUAAAUAUUUUCUGGCGACCGAUAGUGUAGCAGUACCGUGAGGGAAAGGUGAAAAGUAUGCCGGUGAGGCAGGUGAAAUAGAACCUGAAACCCUGCGUUUACAAGACAGUCACAAGACUAUGACGUUCUUCGGAGCGUAAUGUCUGGUGGCGUGCCUAUAGAAGAAUGAUCCGACGAGUUAUUGCAUGUAGCGAGGUUAAGCAGGUAAUUGCGGAGCCGCAGCGAAAGCGAGUCUGAAGAGGGCGAAAGUUGCAUGUAGUAGACCCGAAACCAGGUGAGCUACCCUUGGCCAGGAUGAAGCUUUGGUAACACAAAGUGGAGGUCCGAAUGCCUCAACGUUGAAAAGUUGAGUAAUGAGCUGUGGGUAGGGGUGAAAAGCCAAUCGAACCUGGAGAUAGCUGGUUCUCCCCGAAAUAGUUUUAGGACUAGCCUCGGAGAAGAAUCUGCUGGGGGUAAAGCACUGAAUAGGCUAGGGGGCACACCAGCUUACCAACCCUAAUCAAACUCUGAAUACCAGCAGAUGUUAUCCGGGAGUCAGGCACAGUGAGAUAAGUUUCUGUGUCGCGAGGGAAACAGCCCAGACCGUCAGUUAAGGUCCCAAAGUAUAUGCCGAGUGGGAAAGGAUGUGGAGGUCCCCAGACAGCCAGGAGGUUGGCUUAGAAGCAGCCAUUCCUUUAAAGAGUGCGUAAUAGCUCACUGGUCGAGGGCUUCUGCGCCGAAAAUGUAACGGGGCUAAGCAUAUCACCGAAACCACGGGUUCGUUUGUUCUUAGGAACGAAUGGGCGGUAGGGGAGCGUUCUGCCGUAGUAAGAAGCGUUACCGUAAGGAGACGUGGACGAAGCAGAAGUGAGAAUGUCGGAACGAGUAGCGAUAAGACAGGCGAGAAACCUGUUCGCCGUAAACCUGAGGUUUCCUGGGCAAGGUUAAUCCUCCCAGGGUCAGUCGGUCCUAAGCCGAGGCCGAGAGGCGUAGGUGAAGGGAAACGAGUUAAUAUUCCGUACCUGUGAUGAAUGUUCUAUCGAAGGAGUGACGCAGAAGGCUAUGUCCGCGGGGACCGAGUUCUCCGUCUGGGCUUGAUACCGGCCUGCAGGCAAAUCCGCAGGCGUGAGGUUCUGGAGUCCGGCAACCCGAAACAAGUAGGGGGAGUGAGCAGAUGCCACGCUGCCGAGAAAAGCUUCUAAGAGAAGAAGAUCCAGACCGUACCGCAAACCGACACAGGUGGGUGAGGAGAAAAUCCUAAGGCGCUCGAGAGAAUCCACGUUAAGGAAUUCGGCAAAUUGACUCCGUAACUUCGGGAGAAGGAGUGCUCCAUGGUGUGACUGAAGCAUGUUAGCAAUAGUAUGUCGUCAGGUAGUGCUGUGGAGUCGCAGAGAAUAGAACCAGGCGACUGUUUAUCAAAAACAUAGGACUUUGCCAAAGCGAACAGCCGAAGUAUAAGGUCUGAUGCCUGCCCAAUGCUGGAAGGUUACGGGGAGGAGUCAGGGGUCUCGUGCCCUGCAGCUCUGAACUUAAGCCCCAGUGAAUGGCGGCCGUAACUAUAACGGUCCUAAGGUAGCGAAAUCCCUUGUCAGGUAAGUUCUGACCCGCAUGAAUGGCUUAACGGUCUGGUUACUGUCUCAACGUGGAAUUCGGCGAAACUGUGCACCGGGUGAAGACGCCCGGUAUCCGCAUCAGGACAAAAAGACCCCAUGGAGCUUUACUGUAUCUUGAUAUUGAAAUUUGGCCUGUUAUGUAGAGUAUAGGUGGGAGACUAUGAAGUUAGGGCGCCAGCCUUGGCGGAGUCAGCAAUGGAAUACCACCCUUAGUAGUCUGGAUUUCUAACCUUGGGCCCUUGACCGGGUCUGGGGACAGUGUCAGGUGGGCAGUUUGACUGGGGCGGUCGCCUCCAAAAGAGUAACGGAGGCGUUCAAAGGUUCCCUCAGCGUGAUUGGAAACCACGCGCAGAGUGUAAAGGCAAAAGGGAGCUUGACUGUGAGGCAGACAAGCCGAUCAGGGACGAAAGUCGGACUUAGUGAUCCGGUGGUACCGCAUGGAAGGGCCAUCGCUCAACGGAUAAAAGCUACCCUGGGGAUAACAGGCUUAUCUCUCCCAAGAGUUCAUAUCGACGGGGAGGUUUGGCACCUCGAUGUCGGCUCAUCGCAUCCUGGGGCUGGAGUAGGUCCCAAGGGUUGGGCUGUUCGCCCAUUAAAGCGGUACGUGAGCUGGGUUCAGAACGUCGUGAGACAGUUCGGUCUCUAUCCGAUGCGGACGUAGGAUGAUUGCGAGGCUCUGCCCUUAGUACGAGAGGACCGGGGUGGACAAACCGAUGGUGAACCAGUUGUAUGGUCGCAUGCACCGCUGGGUAGCUAAGUUUGGACGGGAUAACCGCUGAAGGCAUCUAAGUGGGAAACCCACCUCAAGAUUAAUCAUCCCUGCUGACCGUAAGGCAGCGUAAGGAACCAUGUAGUCUACGUGGUGAUAGGCCGGAGGUGAAAUAGCUGCGAGGCUUUGAGCUGACCGGUACUAAUAUUCCGAAUA